GCAGCGCCGCGAAGGGGACGUGCGUGGAGAAGAGCCUCGGAUCCGGGAGGUCGCCGAUGUCGGGGACUCUGCCGCAAGUGUAGAUCUGGAACUCCAAGUUCUGGACGCACUCGUGGGGGCCGAAGGAGUGGAAAGGGUGGUCGGCGGCGUCCGGAGGGUGCUCCCGCCGGUGCACGGUGGCGUAGAGGAGCGCUUGGGUCCACGUGGUGCCGGUCUUGGGCAGGCUGGCGAGGAUGACGUCCGUGGGCCGCGCGGCGAAGCGGGCGCCGGCGACCAUGGCACCGACCAUGGGCAUCUGGCCGGUGCGCCAGCCUUGGCCGUGGAGGUAGAGCCGCUGGUGCGACAGGCCAUCGGAGCUCGGCAGGGAGGAGACCAGGUCGGUGAAACGCUGGUAGAGUUGCUGGUUGGUUUCCUCCGCUUGCGCAUCGGCUUCUUGCUGGGGAACGGUUUGCACGGAGAACGACAUGGCGAGUUGGCGAGUCGUGGCACCUUUGAUUCUUUGUAUAAAUGUAUGCAAGGGUAAGGCGUCUGGUACUCUAGCUGGUUGAUGGUUCGGUAAAGGUGCCUUGGUAGAGGAAGCAAACCCCGGCGAGAGGCCUGUGAUUAUAUUCCACGAGGCUCUCACAGCACGGGCUGGGUAGGCAAGCGGCGGAAUAAAUAACAAACCGUACGUGCAAUCACGUGAGAUGAUUGAUAAUAAUGCGUUGCCAAAGUACGCCACAGCAUGAGGUCGGAUAUGACGCGCCGCCGAUGCGCCGCAACAUCAGGCUGCCAUCGAUCUCUCGUAUCGUAUCCAUGGAUGCUACCUAAACUGCUAGAAGCAGUUUGUCCAACUUCUUUCCGUGACGGUUCUGAUCGAUCCAUUGCAGAGGAAGAAAUUACACGCAGAAUUGUGCAGUGGCUCCGCGGUUGAGGGGAUAUAAGAGAAGGGGAUCCAACAUCCGCAGCAUGCACGUAGAUGCCCCCCUGGCGCCUAGAGGUGAUCUAGAAAACAACAUGUAGAGUUUUUUCAUAGGUGGCAUUAAUUUCUUCCCUUCUUUGUACGGCACCUUAAUUUUGCUCAAGUUUCCGCAAGUGACACGUGCAUGCUCCAACAUACAGUAUUCUCCACGUCUACGGAUUAACAUGGAGCGCCUCCAAAAGAAAGAGGAAGAGAGAGAGGCGCACAAAAUAAGCAACUUUUUACCCCCAACAUUAUUAUUUAUACAUAUAUACUAUUAAUUCUUUUCUCUUGCUUUAAUUUGUACUACUAGUAUCAUGAUUAUUCGAAUCAGAUCAGGGCUCGAUGUGGCUUGGAUGAAGAAGCACCAUGCACGUUGCGGAACUACUGAGAAGUAAGUCCAUGCAUGCACAACUAAAGGAGUCAUAAAAUGUACAGGUAGAGCCUUUUGUACACACUGGAAUCGUCAAAACGUACGUGCUUGUGUACUGUUCCCAUUUAUUGGGUGACGUAACUCAAGGCUUUGAUGAUACUUUAAACAUGUAGGCCACGUUAUUUUAUACGUAAAACGUAUUACUUUAGUGGAUGUUGAAAAUAGUCUGUACAGCUUUUACCAGCCUGGGGCCUUUCUUCUUUUUUUUGGGACGGCUAAGUUAUAAUGAUCUUUUGCUAAAAUUUUCGUUACCAUGAGGGCCUUUCUUCUUUUUUGUAUGGUUCUUUUGCAGUUCCCUGGGCCGAAAGGUGUGCAGCGCUCCAGCCAUUUACUUCUUCCUCCACAGUCUGUCCUUUUGGCCAGCCCAAUAAGCGACGGAGCUCCAAGACGUUCAUGGGCUCAUGAGACCUGCUGCAUGCAGUUUAUCAUGCACGCACCACCAACCCUCAGCGCUUCACCUUCCCUGUCGAAUUUUUUUUAUUUUUAUAUUUUUUUUGAUUUUGCAAAAAUAUAUAGUCGGAUGGAAAAAUUGCAUAUUGGGCUAUUGCCGCCGGCCCAGGUGGCGGAAGGGCCUUACCGCCGCCUCAGCCGGCGGUAAGGCCCCCGCCAACGGUCAGCAGCCGGCGUAACUGCGGGCGCGUGAGUCGAGGUUUUACCGCCGCCUGGGCCGACAACAGUCGCCCCUUUAUAACCUGCCCACGCCCCUCCCCUCUCCCCGCACCAGUGCGCGCCCGCAACAAGCCUGAGAAGGGAGAGGGAAGAGAAAGAGGAAAGGAGGGAAGGAAAAAAAAGAGAGAGGAGAGGAGGAGGAGGGAAGAAAAAAAAGAAAGAAAGGAGGAGGAGGGAAGAAAAAAAGAAAGAAAGGAGGAGGAGGUGGAAGAGGGAAGAAAUUUCUUCCGUCUUUCGCAGGUAAUUUUUUUUAAUCUCGUAGUUUAGUUUAGUUUAGUUUAGUUUAGAUCAAAUCUAGAUUUAGAAAUAUUAGUCUAACUGUUAGAAGGUGUUUGGCAGCACUCUUUUUCAGAAAAAACAGGUCCACUUUACCAACUCUACAAAAUUACCUGUCAAACACAUCCAGCUCCACAAACUUCAGCUUCAGAAAAAAUAUGUAGCUAGGUGUUGGGGGGAAAUAUUAACGAUCUCCUAAAUACCGCUUAAAGGAACAAACAUGAAGGCCCAGGCCCAUCCAGGAUAACAAACUCACCGUCAAACCCAACAUGAGCGAAACUCCGCCUCGCCCGACCACGGUCUCAGGGUCGGGAAACGUCCGACCUCCCGCCAUGAGGCUCCGCCUCGUCCGACCGCGACCCCAGGGUCGGAGGCGCCCGACCCCUCGCCACAAGGUUCCGCCUCGUCUGACCCUGGGCACGGGGGUCGGACUCACUGGGGCCCCCAGGACGGGUAGCCCCCUCGGGCGCGGACCGGGUGAUCAAGGUAACGAUCCCGUGGGUCCCCCUUGUCGACCUCGUCAUAAAUGCGCCGCAGGCCUAGCAGGAAGAAGGAUGACCGCGCUCCUCACGCAACCCGCUGCAAGUACCCAUGCACGACCACACUGUACAAGCUACAGUGCUGGCGGCUUCCUUCCAUUCGCCGCAGGGUACUCAUGGCCUGCGCCGACCGGAGCAGAGGGAAGACUCGCCCGUUCUCGGGCUCCGCGCGCCCGGCAGCGGGGAUGUGACGCCCUCUCUCCACAAGCCAUCAUCAGGACGGCGGCAUCCGCCGUCCCUCCCAACGGACACCGGAGUAAUGACGAAACGCCUUCAUCAUAACCCGACACCUACAGACACCGAAGAGGCUAUCUGUAGGGCGCGACGACAGUUGGCACACGGCCGCCCCCUUCCUCCAGCAUGCACGCCGGCGCACGUCAGGGACUGGCGAAGGCGCCGGGCACCUAGAAACUUGGUUUCUCCCUUCUUGCCGUAUUUUUACCGUACUACGUUUAAACUCUUACUGCCCUCAUCGCCCGGUCUCAGCUGUAACUCCGGCCGCUCCCUUACAAUAUAAAAGGGGGCAUCGGGGGCCAGAGAGGGGGAUCGGCUUCUUCUCCCACAAGCCACAACACAUUACUACUCUCCCUGAGAGCACAAGCACGAAAGAGACUUGGGACCAGUCCCUCUCUCGUCGAUCUGUAACCCCUACUACAGAACCCCGCGUGGGCAACACGAGCAUCCUCGAUACUGGACGUAGGGCUUCCCUUGCCCAAACCAGGCUAAACCCGUGUCUCCCACGCCACCAUCUGAAGCCUUACGCGCAUAAAAGAAAUAUACUAGUCUAAGUCUUGAUCCGCAAAUCCUGACAACGACAGUUGGCGCGCCAGGUAGGGGCCCUUUGCGCGUACGUCUCCGGCCUCAGAUGGCCAGUUACGAUAUCAGCUUUGCUCCGGGCUCCCUGAUCCGUUUCGGGAGCCUGGACUUCCUCGCCACCGGGGAAGGGAUCGAGCUGAUCCCUAUCCUCGUCGUGCCCGCUCGUCCUGUUGUCCUCAGCCCCGCCGCUAGGACAGCGGCGAGCUGCCGGGCGUGUACCAGAAGGCCCUUACCAGGAGGACGGCCCUUCGGGCUAUGCAACGCCACGGGGGCUUACGGCCACCUCCUAACACAGUCCAUGACCGUGUUGCCCGCGAGCAACGAGCUCGCAGGCGCGGCGAGGACGAUCUUCGACACCGGCUCCAGCAGCGGGAGCCCCCACCCCUCGCGUGAGUGUCUCAUGGCCGACGCGCACUCCGAGGGGUCCAACGGCAACGGCGCCGAGGGGAGACAGAGGACUCCUCCCUCGCGUGCCGCGGCUACAACCGGAGCCUUACCAAGGGCACCAGAGUGCUCUCAGCAGCUGGAGGCGCGCGCGGGCUCCCGCCAAGAAAUCGAGCAUCCCCACCACGAGGGCGGAGCACGACAACGGGCGCGCGACGUCCAGCAGCGCAUUUGCGCGGACGAAGAGCGUCCACAGCUCUUCGCCCGCGCCAGCCAAAACGUCGCAGCCGCAGCGGUCUUGCUCCGGCAACUCCCCGAACUGGUGACGCCCGAGGAGCGACGGGCACGCCAAGAGAUGCGCAACCUGCUCGAAUGCGCCGCCGUCCAGCAGGCAGAAAGUUCCGCGUCCCGGCGACGCGGACAGAACGCCAGCAGGGCGACGCCCGACGCGCCCCCGGAAAGACGGGGGGAGUCUAUCCAUCAACCCCCUCCUUGGGCGAAUCAGGCCACGUCCGCCCGACGGACGCCACCACCCGCGGAAGGCGAGGCUCGAUCCGUCCACCAGCGCGUUGGCCCCGUCCGCGACGCCCGCGACACCCUGAACGACGGACGCACUCCCGCGCGGACAGGGAGGACGGGGUGGAUCGAGGCUACCACGUUCACCGCGGCGGGCGCUACGACAGCAGGGAAGACCGCAGCCCGAGCCCCGGCCCGGCUGGGCCCCGGGCCUUCUCUGCGCGCAUCUUGAACGCGCCUUUUCCGCCACGCUUCAGGCAACCCACAAAUAUGGCCAAAUACUCAGGGGAGACGAACCCUGGGGUAUGGCUCAGUGACUACCGGCUUGCAUGUCAAGCCGGCAGGGCGGAUGAUGACCUGUUUAUCAUCCGCAACCUACCCAUCUUCCUGGCCGACUCAACGCGAGCUUGGCUGGAACAUAUCCCUUCGGGACGAAUCCGCAGCUGGAACGAUCUGAAGGAGGUCUUCAUAGGGAACUUCCAAGGCACGUGCACGCGCCCCGGCAAUUCCUGGGACCUCCGGAGCUGUCGCCAGGGAGCGGACGAGUCCCCCCGGGAUUAUAUCCGACGCUUCUCCAGGAAGCGCACCGAGCUCUCCAACGUCGCGGACGCCGACGUCAUAGGGGCUUUCCUAGCGGGAACCUCCUGCUGGCCCCUCGUCCACGAGCUGGGGCGCCGAGGCCCGCGAACCACGGAGGAGCUCCUCAACAUCGCCACCAGCUACGCCUCGGGUGAAGAGGCUGUUGGAGCGAUCUUCGACCGCUCCAAAGGCAAGGCAAAGCGGGAGGAGGAUGCUGACGAAGGCACCCCCAGCCGCCAGCAGAAGAAAAAGGGCAAACAGCGGCGCGAGGCUCCCCUCGUGGCUGCUGUCGAGAGUAAGCGAGGGCAGCCACCCCCCGAGGGCACUCCCGGCUUCUUCGACAAACUGCUCGAGGGACCGUGCCCGAACCACGAGUUCCCCACGAAGCAUGCCUACAAAGACUGCAACCUCAUGAAGAGGUACUUUGUGGGCAACCCGGUGAAAGGCGACCGAAAGCGAAAACCCGAUGAGGAAAAGAAGGGCGACGAAGAGAAGGAAGACGGCUUUCCCAAGGUGGACGGCUGCUUCAUGAUCUUUGGCGGCUCCGCGGCGUACGAUACCAAGCGCCAGCAGAAGCUGGAGCGCCGGGAGGUCUACGCGGCCGAGCCAGCAACUCCGGCCUUCCUGGACUGGUCGGGACCGGCCAUCACCUUUGAUCGGUCCGACCACCCUGGACGCGUCCGGCAUCCGGGACGUUACCCUCUCGUCGUCGACCCCAUCGUCGGCACGACGCGCCUCACCAAGGUGCUCAUGGAUGGGGGCAGCGGCCUCAACAUCCUCUACGCGGAGACCCUUGACGCUAUGGGGAUCGACCGUUCCCACCUCCGUCCCAGCAAGGCGCCUUUCCACGGCGUCGUGCUAGGGAAGCAGGCAAUGCCUCUCGGGCAAAUCGACUUGCCCGUUACGUUCGGGACCCCUUCCAACUACAAGAAGGAGGUCCUCACCUUCGAGGUGGUAGGGUUCCGCGGAACCUACCACGCCAUCUUGGGACGGCCAUGCUACGCAAAGUUCAUGGCCAUCCCCAACUACACCUACCUCAAGCUCAAGCUACCGGGGCCCAACGGGGUCAUCACCGUCGGCAUGACCUUUCAGAAGGCGUAUGAGUGCGACGUGGAAUGCUGCGAGUACACCGCGGCCAUCACCGUCACGAGCAAUCUGGCGGUCCAGCUCGCGGAGGCCACCGAGGACCGGCCCGACUUCAAGCAGCCGACCACCUCCUUUGAGCCCACCGAAGGCAUCAAGGAGGUCCCCCUCGAUCCCAGCUGUUCCAACGGAGGAGUCGUGCGGAUCAGUGCUACCUUGUCCUCCAAAUAGGAAAGCGCGCUCAUCGAGUUCCUCCGCGCGAGCAGCGACGUCUUCGCGUGGAAGCCCUCGGACAUGGCUGGCAUUCCGAGAGAAGUCGCCGAGCACUCCUUGAACAUCAAGGCCGGCUCCAAGCCAGUGAAGCAAGGACUGCGCCGUUUCGACGAGGAAAGGCGCAAGGCCAUCGGCGAGGAGCUCCAGAAGCUUCUGACGGCCGGGUUCAUCAAGGAAGUGCACCACCCCGAGUGGCUGGCUAAUCCUGUCCUUGUACCAAAAAAGACCAGGAAAUGGAGGAUGUGUGUUGAUUAUACCGGUCUAAACAAAGUGUGUCCAAAGGAUCCGUUUCCUUUGCCAUGCAUAGAUCAAAUAGUUGACUCAACCGCCGGGUGCGAAACCCUCAGCUUCCUUGACGCAUAUUCCGGCUACCAUCAGAUCGCGAUGAAAGAGACCGAUCAGCUCGCCACCUCCUUCAUCACCCCCUUUGGCCCCUACUGCUACGUUAAGAUGCCAUUCAGCCUCAAAAACGCGGGGUGCAUGCUAAAGUGCUUCGGGGACCUCAUCGGGCGGACUGUUGAGGCUUACGUUGAUGACAUCAUGGUCAAAUCCAAGAGGGACGAUCAGCUCGUCCCCGACCUGGAAUUAGCCUUUGAAAGGCUGAGGGAUAAGCGUAUUAAGCUCAAUCCCGAAAAAUGUGUAUUCGGAGUCCCGAGGGGCAUGCUAUUAGGCUUCAUCGUCUCCGUGCGUGGCAUCGAAGCGAACCCGGAGAAGAUAGCGGCCAUCAGCGACAUGGGGCCAAUCCGGAACAUAAAGGGAGUCCAGCGCGUCACGGGAUGCUUGGCGGCCCUAAGCCGCUUCAUCUUGCGCCUCGGUGAGCGAGGGCUUCCUCUCUAUCGACUCCUGAAAAAGACUGACCGCUUCGAAUGGACCGGCGAGGCCCAGGAGGCACUUGACCGACUCAAGGACCUCCUGACGAAGGCCCCGAUCCUAGUCCCGCCUACCUACAGUGAGCCCCUCCUGCUCUACAUUGCGGCGACCACCCAAGUGGUUAGCGCGGCCCUGGUGGUGGAACGAGAAGAGGAGGGACACGCUCUCAAGGUGCAACGCCCGGUGUAUUUCAUCAGCGAGGUCUUGUCCGAGUCCAAGGAACGUUACCCACAGAUCCAGAAGCUCAUCUACGCCGUCCUUAUCAUGAAGAGGAAGCUGCGCCACUACUUUACCUCCCACCCGGUAACGGUUGUUUCGUCAUUCCCGUUAGGCGAAGUAAUCCGAAACCAGAACGCCACGGGGAGGAUCGCGAAGUGGGCGCUCGAGCUCAUGGACCAGGGUAUCACCUACGCCCCCCCCAACGCCAUCAAGUCCCAGGUACUCGCUGACUUCGUGGCAGAAUGGACGGAGAUCCAGACGCCAUCGACGCCGGAGAAGCAGGAGUACUGGACAAUGUACUUUGAUGGGUCGCUGAUGAGGGCCCGCGCCGGAGCGGGUCUCGUCUUCGUCUCUCCUCUAGGCGUACGCAUCAGGUACAUGAUCCGCCUCCACUUUUCUGCGUCCAACAAUGUCGCCGAGUACGAAGCCCUCCUCAACGGGCUCCGCAUCGCCAUCGAGCUGGGCAUCCGCCGGUUGGACAUCCGGGGCGACUCCCAGCUAGUCGUCGAACAAGUCAUGAAGGAGUGGAGCUGCCACAACCCCAAGAUGGCAGCCUACUGCAAUGAGGUUCGCAAGCUCGAAGACAAGUUCGACGGGCUGGAGCUCAACCACAUCGCAAGGCGCUUCAACGAAGCUGCCGACGAGCUAGCGAAGGCGGCAUCCGGCCGAAUGCCCGUGCCCGACGGCGUCUUUGUUAGUGACCAGUUGAAGCCUUCAAUCCGUUACCCAGAGCUGGCAGGGGUCGGCGAAGCAUCCCCGGCCCCGGGGUCGGGCCCCGACUCAGGGGAGGUUGGCAGCACGCCGCCUAUCCCAGGCUCGGGCACCAGCCUCGAUCCCUCUAGCCUCAUGGUCAUGGCAAUCGCGGCAGACCCCACGGUGGGGGCCGACCCCCCGACCGACUGGAGAGCCCCACACCUCGACUACCUCGUCCGCGACACGCUCCCGGCAGACAAGACAAAGGCCCGUAGGACCGCGCGCCGCGCCAAAUCCUUCGUCGUCAUCGACCAGAAGCUCUACAAGAGAAGCCACACUGGGAUCCUCCAGUGCUGCAUCUCGAUCGAACAGGGAAAGGCGCUGAUCCAGGAUAUCCACGCCGGAGCCUGCGGUCACCACGCCGCGCCAAGGACCCUCGUUGGCAACGCCUUCCGGCAAGGUUUCUAUUGGCCGACCGCGGUCGCCGAUGCUACUCAGGUAGUCCGCACCUGUGAGGGGUGCCAAUUCUUUGCGCUCCAGACUCACCUGCCCGCACAGACGCUACAGACCAUCCCCAUCACGUGGCCGUUUGCGCUCUGGGGGCUGGAUCUCGUCGGACCCUUCAAGAAAGCGCCCGGGGGCUUCACCCACCUACUUGUCGCCGUUGACAAGUUCUCCAAGUGGAUCGAGGCAAGACCGGUGGCGCAAAUCAGGUCCGAGCAGGCGGUACAGUUCUUCACCGACAUCAUCCACCGCUUCGGGAUCCCAAAUUCCAUCAUCACCGACAACGGUACGCAGUUCACUGGGAAGAGAUUCCUCCAGUUCUGCGACGACCACCACAUUCGAGUGGACUGGGCGGCCGUGGCACACCCCCGCAUGAACGGGCAAGUCGAGCGAGCCAACGGCAUGAUACUCCAAGGUCUCAAGCCACGGAUCUUCGAUCGCCUCAAAAAGUUCGGCGGACGGUGGGUUGCCGAGCUCCCCGCAGUCCUCUGGAGCCUGAGGACGACCCCCAGUCGGGCGACGGGCUUCACCCCGUUCUUCAUGAUUUACGGGUCCGAGGCCAUCCUGCCCACCGAUCUAGAAUACGGAUCGCCGAGGGUCAAGGCAUACGACGAACAAGGGAACCAGACAUCGCUCGAGGACGCACAAGAUCAACUCGAUGAGGCACGAGACGUAGCCCUGCUGCACUCGGCUAAAUAUCAGCAGGCCCUACGGCGUUACCACAGCCGUAAGGUGCAAGGCCGAGCCUUCAACAUCGGCGACUUGGUGCUCCGCCUCGUUCAGGACAACAGGGGUCGGCACAAGUUAACUCCCCCAUGGGAAGGUCCUUUCAUCGUCGCGCAAGUACUGCGGCCAGGCACCUACAAGCUGGCGACUCCCGACGGGCAGAUCUUCAGCAACGCUUGGAACAUAGAACAGCUAAGGCGCUUUUACCCCUAGCUCUUAUUUCCAAGUUCUGCACAAACUUGUCUGCAAUUUUGAUAAUUUUCUUUUUGCGGAAAAAGAAAACCCAAGCCGUCUCGGUUCAGGCUUUUCCCGUCAAGCUCAGGGGUAUCCGACCCUGGCCUCGUUCCAGGGCUGCAUACCCCUCGGGGGCUAUCAGGGGCUCCGUCCCAAGCCACUUGGCACCAUCUAAAAGAAACGUUUUUUCUUUCAAACCGAGCCCCCCUUUCUAGACUUUUGGACGCAAAAAGAAAAGAAUGCUCGAACGGUGCUCAGGCAAGAUUGAUCGGACUGCGAAAAAACCUACGCCCCAGCGGCUACGGCGCCUUCGCUCAUUAAAGCUUACUGACACACCUGACAACGCAUUCUAAACUUUCAAGCCCAAAGGAACAGUAAAGGGGAUCGGAAACUUUCGCACGAUAAAGUUAUAAAAAAGGCCCGUAUGGCCAUCACGAAACAAGUUCGAAACUGACAUAUUUACAAUUUGGGCGCAAGGCCGGUACAGCUAACUUGACGGGGGGUCUUCAGGAGGGACAGCCUCAUCCUCCAGGAGCUUCGCGAGGGCUUCUGCCGGGGUGAACACCGCCGCAUCAAUCUCGUCCAGCUCGGCCUCGGAGUAACCGGCGGCGUACCCUCCGCUCAUCCCGGCAAAGUUGAUGCCGGAAUAGUGGGAGCCGAAGACCCCGAAGGCUCGCCGCACGCCGGUGUGAAGCCCGUCCACGGCGAUCUCGCGGCUUCGGCGGCGUACCCUGAGGACACGAGCUGGCAGAGAGCUCGACCCCUCCUCCGGAACCACGCCGAAGCUGUCGCCGACGACACGGACCGCAUCCUGCAGGGCGCCGUGCUCACUACGCUCCGCGUCAAGCAGGUCCCUCAGCUUGGCGAGUUCGCCUGCAGGAACCAUACAGAAAAGCCCACCAAAGUCAGGAACCGCCACAACAUCACGGGAAUGCAGAAACGGAAAGGAGUCUCACCGUCGGCCCAGGCCUUCAGCUCGUGCUCCCGAUCGGCUCCUUGAGACAUGGCGUUCUGGAGUCCCUGCACUUGCGAGCGGAGGUGACCGACCUCCGCGCCAAGUUCAGCCGCCACCUUCUCAGCCUCCUCCUUCUUGACCUUCUCGGCAUCCCGGUCCUACCAAGCCUUGUGCCGCUCGCGCCGGAUGCGCUCGACGGUCUUCUGGAGGGCUUCAUGCUCCCCCCUCAGCCGUGCGAGCUCCUCAGCAUCGCGGCAGGCCCUCUCGGCGGCAGCCUGGAACUCCUCGCGAUCAAGGCGGGCCUUGUCGAUGACGGCUUGGAGCUUAGCUUCCGACCGCCGCGCCUCCUCCUGCGCCGCCUCCUCACGCCUCUGCAGGUCGGCAACGACCAACUGGGCGGCAGCAACCUGCAGGGACAGCUCCCUGGUCCGCGCCCUCUCCACAUUGAAGCGCUCCUAGAGGCCCCGCUCCAGCCGGACGAAAUUAGAUUUCCCCCGACUACACUCUUGGAGAGCCUGCAAAGCGACGUGCCAUCAGGGACAAAGCAACGGGGAAUGAUGAUCACCAACAGGAAAGAGCAACAUACCUGGCUACCAGGGAGGACGGUGUUGUCCAAAGCCCCCAUCGCCGAGGACAGAGCCGCGCGGGCGUGGGCGAGGCCACCCUGCACCGCCUGCCACUUGUGCCACUCCGCUGCGUCGUCCAGGGUGAAGCGGUGCCUCGGCGGGUCCUCGCGGGAUGACCAACGCAGGAUGGACCCCCUCCACGCCCUGGGAACGGUGGGAGCCGAGGCCGAGGCGGGAGCCCAUCCUGACGCUGCCAUCGAAGUUGGCACCACCACACUGGAAGCCGCCAGGUUUGCAGACGGCUCCGGCGCCUGCACACCCAUCGCCGCCGAGGCCGCCGCGGGGUCGCCCAAUGGCAGCGCCGCCUCUGACGCAAGCGGCAAGAUAGGAAUCCCCGCGGCUACCUUGCCCUCCGCCGCAAUCGCCAAGGGAGGCUCCUCCGCCCCUGCCGGAGCCCCUCGAGCGGGCCCCUCCACCUCCGCUAUCGGAGUCACCUCCGCUGGGAUCCUCGAGGCGGAGGUCCCCACCUCCGUCGCCGCUGCCUCCUCCGCCGCGGUCGCAGGGGCAGGCACCCCCUCCUCUGUCGGCGCCGCCGCCGAUCCCGCCACGGCUGCGGGGGCAUCCGUCCCGCCUCCCGUCGCCGUCGCCUCCUCCGCCUCGUCGGCGUCAAGGUCGAUCACCUCCCCGGCCUGAGGACCCGGGGGAAUGAUGCCCUGCGCUGUAGGGACGACCGGGGGAACCGAAGGCAGAAUGGGGUCCACUCCCCCUCCCGCGACCGACACCGCCGUCGCUCCGCCAGCCACCGUCACGGGGGCCGCCUCCGCGGAGGGGUCCGCGACCUUACCAGGGACCCCGCCGCUCGCUGCGGGCGGGACCGCGGUCCGUCCCCCGGAGGAGGACAACACCCGCAAUGCCUUCUUGGGCGCCAGCUGCAGGACGAGGCCACGGGGGGCGGCGCUGCAUAUCAACGAGCAAACGUCAGCGGGAACGAACGCGAGAAGGGAGAGGAACGAGACGCGCGAGGAAGGCCAACUUACGUUCCUGAAGCACAAGGGCGACACGCGCGCUUCGCUUCGGAGCCUGACGCCGACCCCGGGACAUCUGGCAGCGGCCGCUUGUCGCCGCUUCGCUGCCCUCCAGCCUCGGGCGUGACGGUGGAGGCGGUCUCCGCGGAUCUCCGGGGAGCGCCCUGGGUAGACUCCUGGGGGGCGCCCGGCGCCGGCUCCUGGGCGGCGGCGGGAGUAGGCUCCGAAGACCCCCGGGGGACGCUCCGCGCCGGUUCCAGGGAGGAGCCCCGUGUCGACCCCUGGGGGGCACCCCUCGCCGACCACCCUUGGGGAGCGUCCCGCGCCGGCUCCUGGGAGGCGCCCCGCACCGACCCCUGGGGGACGUCCCGCGUCAACUCCUGGGGGGCGCUUCGUGCCGGCCCCUGGGCGCAGCCCCAGGGCCUUGCGGAACCACGGUCCGGGCGGACGCCCCCUCCGCUUCACCCCCCGCGGCCGUCUGCGAGCGCACCUCCCGGAUUACAAGUGCGCCCGAUCGGAGGGAGGAAAUCAGCUCCUCCCCCUCUUCAUCAUCUUCCUCAUCUACAUCCUCUUCAUCAUCGUCGUCGUCGUCGUCAUCGUCUGACAUGACCUGCCCCCUCCGCCGCCGUUGGAGCUCCUUGGCGGCCUUCUUCUUCUUCUUCGCCGUCUCCUUGUCCUUACGGCGCUUCUGCGCCUCGGCAAGGAGACGGUUGCGCGUCCGCCGAUCAGCGUCCUCCGGCACCGGCGGAAGUGAGUCCACGACCCGGGUCAGCGCGCCCUACGAACGCAAAACGGCCCCAUGUCAGAAUGCCAAUUACAAGACGCGAAGAAAGGAAGUCGGCGCCCUAACCCCUUACCAGGUCUAUGAAGCCCGCGUCCGGGCGCAUCGGCGAGUGCCCGGGCACCGGGUACUCGGCGUCCUUGUCCUCCAGCGCCUCCCGAAUCCGUUGCCGGAUCUCGGAGGCGGCAAGCGCACCCGCCGCCAAGGCGGUGCCCUCGGCCGGCGCGUCCGAAGUCAUGGCGGCAAGCGAGCGGACCCGGAGCAUCAGCGGCGCCACCCGCCGGGCAUGGUACGCUCCGAUGACCCCGGCGCCGCUAAGCCCGCUCCUCUUCAGCUGCUCGAUGGCCUGCAGCAGGUCGAAGAUCCGCUUCUUCUCCUUGUCCACCGGCCCGUACGCCCACACCUCCGGCGCCACGUCGAUGGUACGGCCAGUAAACUCCGGCAGGGGGGAGUCCGAGUAGUUCUUCACGUAGAACCACUGGUUGUGCCACCCCUUGUGGGACGCCGAAGUCUUCAUCGCCAUAUACUCCUUGGAGCGAGUAUGGCGGAGGUGGAUCCCAGCGCACCUAAUCGGCACCGAAGGCAACCGCUCUUCUCCGUCUUCUGGUACAAACUCACUGUGAAGAAAUACUUCCACAGCGAGAAGUUGGGCUCGAUGCCCAGGAACCCCUCGCACAGUGCGACGAACGCCGCAAUGUGCUGGAUCCCGUUGGGGUUGAGGUGCUGGAGCUCGAGCCUGUAGUAGUGGAGGAGCCCCCGGAAGAAGCGGCUCGGUGGAGUAGCGAACCCCCGCUCAUGGAAGUGAGCGAAGGAGACGACGUAGCCGGAGGGAGGCUCCGGUACUUGCUCCGGCCCCGGCAGCUCCCACUCGGCCGCCUCUGUCCUCUCGCAGAAGAGGCCUUUCCGCACCAGGCCCUCGGCGCGCGAGGAGUUGAAGUGAGAGAUCCCCCAAGAACCCAUCGCCGGAGGAGGAGGAAGCUUGACGGAGGUCAAAGGAAAGUGCGCAGCUGGGGCGGAGGAAGGCGAAGCGGACGCAGAUCAGCUAAGUGCGAGGCUGGAGGACGAAAGGGCUCGAAUGCAGAAGGCGGGCGUAACCAGCGAGGCGGGCUUCCGUUUUUAUAGGAAAGGCACGGGGGAAGCCAAAUCGAUGCCCCUGCCGCCAUAAAUGCGGCGCCAGGUACGCCCCUGCCACGCCCACUUCCUUUUCGGAAACCGCGUGCACGAUCGGCCGCGAAAACAUCCUAUCCUCCUCGAUCCGCGGGACGACACUCCCCAUAACUCCGUCUCCCGGAAGGCACGCCCACGACGUCCCCCACGUUCGGCCCAAACGCAACGACCGCUCCGUUCCGGCCCAAGGCCCACCGAAAGGUAAGAAAGGGAUACGGGGCUGAAAACGCCCCUACGGCCCAUUACGGUCCAGAGGUUCGAAGGCUGGCCCGCCACGGGUUCGACAGCUGCCUCAGGACAUCCCCCGAGCGAGGGGUGAGAAGGGACGGGUCCGCUAGCGGCCAACACCCAGGCGAGCGAAAGCCAAGGGCGUCCCGACCUCACGUUCGAGUCCUGACCGGCAUGAAGUUCAUGGUUUUUCCACAAGGAAAGGCAACGAGCCCUCGGAUCCGGCCGAACGGACCCGGGAACUAUAUGAACUGGUCGGCGGGAGAUUAGAGUACGCCACCAGCUUGGCCCGAGCCGGACCCCCCCGAACGAGGACCGGGACUCCACUCGAACCUACCCGUUCGCAGCUCAACGAGCACCACGGUUCGUCCAACGAGGAUAACGUGGCACGGCUCAACCCCUUCGUCCUAGUGAACGGACGCUUGAGGGGCAACGAUCAAAAGUCGACCUGGCCUCCCGACAGGUCUCCUGCAACGCUCGGGGGCUCGGGGGCUAGCAUCGCAACCAACGACCACGCGUGUGGUCGCGAUUCACAGGCUCCCCGACCAAGCUGGGCUAAAACAAACGCACCCUACCCCCAACAAGAUCUCCGGCGAAACGGCGAAAGAAGCCUCCGGAGGAGCACUCUUGCUCCACCACAGGCUCGGGGGCUACUGUUGGGGGUAAAUAUUAACGAUCUCCUAAAUACCGCUUAAAGGAACAAACAUGAAGGCCCAGGCCCAUCCAGGAUAACAAACUCACCUUCAAACCCAACAUGAGCAAAACUCCGCCUCACCCGACCACGAUCUCAGGGUCGGGAAACGUCCGACCUCCCGCCACGAGGCUCCGCCUCACCCGACCGCGGUCCCGGGGUCGGGAGCGUCCGACCUCCCGCCGCGAGGCUCCGCCUCGUCCGACCGCGACCCCAGGGUCGGAGGCGCCCGACCCCUCGCCACAAGGUUCCGCCUCGUCCGACCCUGGGCACGGGGGUCGGACUCACUGGGGCCCCCAGGACGGGUAGCCCCCUCGGGCGCGGAUCGGGUGAUCAAGGUAACGAUCCUGUGGGUCCCCCUUAUCGACCUCGUCAUAAAUGCGCCGCAGGCCUGGCAGGAAGAAGGAUGACCGCGCUCCUCACGCAACCCGCUGCAAGUACCCAUGCACGACCACACUGUACAAGCUACAGUGCUGGCGGCUUCCUUCCAUUCGCCGCAGGGUACUCAUGGCCUGCGUCGACCGGAGCAGAGGGAAGACUCGCCCGUUCUUGGGCUCCGCGCGCCCGGCAGCGGGGAUGUGACGCCCUCUCUCCACAAGCCAUCAUCAGGACGGCGGCAUCCGCCGUCCCUCCCAACGGACACCAGAGUAACGACGAAACGCCUUCAUCAUAACCCGACGCCUACGGACACCGAAGAGGCUAUCUGUAGGGCGCGACGACAGUUGGCACGCGGCCGCCCCCCUCCUCCAGCAUGCACGCCGGCGCACGUCAGGGGCCGGCGAAGGCGCCGGGCACCUAGGAACUUGGUUUCUCCCUUCUUGCCGUAUUUUUACCAUACUACGUUUAAACUCUUACUGCCCUCAUCGCCCAGUCUCAGCUAUAACUCCGGCUGCUCCCUUACAAUAUAAAAGGGGGCAUCGGGGGCCAGAGAGGGGGAUCGGCUUCUUCUCCCACAAGCCACAGCACAUUACUACUCUCCCUGAGAGCACAAGCACGAAAGAGACUUGGGACCAGUCCCUCUCUCGUCGAUCUGUAACCCCUACUACAGAACUUCGCGUGGGCAACACGAGCAUCCUCGAUACUGAACGUAAAGCUUCCCUUGCCCGAACCAGUCUAAACCCGUGUCUCCCACGCCACCAUCUGAAGCCUUACGCGCAUAAAAGAAAUUUACUAGUCUAAGUCUUGAUCCGCAAAUCCUGACAACGACACUAGGGGUCAGAUCCACGUUUUUCCUGAAGUACUUCAGAGAGUGCUCUAAAAACAUCAGUUUCGGACUUCCUCGUGGAGUUAGGAGGUAUUUAUCCACCUUUACCACUCGUUACACAGCAUAACGAUUCUUCUUUGGUUGCUUGUAUCAUUUGGUUCAUAUAUGAAAUGGUUCAUCAAAAUAAUGAUCCUUUUAUUUGGUAGGGUAUAUUGUAUCAACUCAUCCAUAAUGAAGUCAUCCCAUUUAAUUUAUUAUUCUACUAAGCAAAUUGGUUAAACCUCACCGUCAUACAUGCAUGAUAUGGUUCGUGCAACCACCCACACCUAAUUUUUCUUUCCGCUCACUGUCUCCGUCGCCCUCCACCUCCCGUGGAAGCACGCCGGCGGUGGCGCUUCGCGGCCACGAGGAAGCGCCGCGUCAACGCGGGGGAGCUGCUCGUGGCGCGGAAGCACGGGGUGGCCGGCCGCAGCAGGAAGAUGGAGGACGCCGUGUCCGUGCGCGAGGCGUUCGUCGCGCCCUCCGCUGCUGUGGACGAGCGGCGCCCCGCCGUCGGGAGCGGGAGGUGCGAUUUCUACGGGGUGUUCGGCAGCCGUGGGAGCGGGAGGUGCGAUUUCUACGGGGUGUUCGACGGCCACGGCUGCUCCCACGUCGCCGAGGCGUGCCGGGACCGGAUGCACGACCUGCUCGCCGAGGAGCUGUCCGCCGACGACGAUGAGGCGGCGCUGCCGCGGGAGCCUGCGGCUUGGACCGCGGCGAUGGAGCGGUGCUUCGCGCGGAUGGACGCCGAGGUGACCUCCGCCGGCGGCCGCCAGCGCCAGCUGCCGCUGCGACGCGCACAAGUGCUCUGCCGCGGCGGCGGUGCGGCGCCGGUGCCGCUGUCCUCGGACCACAAGCCCGACCGGCCCGAUGAGCAGGAGCGGAUCGAGUCCGCGGGCGGGCGCGUCAUCUUCUGGGAGGGCGCGCGGGUGCUGGGCGUGCUGGCCAUGUCCCGCGCCAUCAGGGACGGGUACCUCAAGCCGUACAUGCCGUCGGUGCCCGAGGUGACGGACCUCGCCGAGGACGACGAGGAGCGCUUAGAUUAAUUAUUAUUAUGGUGUAACCGGAAUUCGAUCCGGAUACCAUUUGGGAUGAAAAAAGGUGUUUAAAUCAUCUAAGGCUGAGAUGGUCGGUCGAGAAGAAUUCGAUGCGGAUCCAAUCUGGAACGAAGCCUCACUAGUCUGCUUUUUUUUUAUCUUCGGUAGAACAUUUGGUUGCACAUUUUAGUCAUUGUAGCAUUAUUCGAUGGAAUAUCACAUUUUAUAUCUUGCUAUGCUCAUUGUUCAGCUAGUUUUUAUUUUUUCCUAAAGUACUGUAGCGAUAGUACCGUAGCAGCGGCAAAAAAACAAAAUACAACUGUGCAUAAUGCUUAAAACACAACUAGGCAUCCAUCAUGGGCAAAAUAGAACAUUCCCACCAAAUUCUCAUAUUUCUAAAGCUGGAGCACUACAAUCUGCCAAACACGUACAACAACUCCAUAUUUUUUUAGAGUUGGUGGAGUGGACCUAAAUUGUAGGUUAUUUUAUUGUUUCUAGAUACAUCAAUUUUACUACAUAUGUAGACUCUGCGUAACAAAAAUCAUGCAUUUUUUUAAACCAACCUGCAAUUUGAAAUGUAUGAAGUGAAUUAGAGUAGUGCAUAUAUAACUGCAGUACACCCGUAGGCACAGCACGGGCCGGGGUAGGCACGCGGCGGAAUAAAUAACAAACCGUACGUGCAACCGUACGGUCCAGCGUUUCCCUCCUGAUCGAUACAUUGCAGAGGAAGAAAUUACAUGCAGAAUCGUGCAGUGGCUCCGCGGUUGAGGGGAUAUAAGAGAAAGGAAUUAAAUCCAACAUCCGCAGCAUGCACGUAGAUACCUUAAUUUUGCUCAAGUUUCCGCAAGUGACAUGUGCAUACUCCUACAUACAAUAUUCUCCACGUCUACGGAUUAACAUGGAGCGCCUCAAAAAAAAAAGAGGAACGGAGGAAGUAGUUAUCUAGACGAAAAAAGAGAAAUGCAUGCAGCCUCAGCUUACCAGGUCAGCGACGCACACGUGCCUGCCGCAAAAAAACAGCAGUGUGUACAUUCCAUCUACCUAAUUGAGAGCUGUAAUUCUAAUUCAUGUGCCACUAGAUUUCACUCUCGCUAUUUGCCGCGUGUAAUGCUAAUUCUAAUUUAUAGCAUCUCAAGUUUGACCAAAUUUAUACCAUAAAUACUAACAUUUAUGAUACCAAAUAAGUAUUAUUAGAUUCUUUAUUAAAUAUAUUUUUAUAGUAUAUUAACUGGCACCCGCGCAGGAAUUUUAAUGAGCCGGGCCGAGAAGGACUGAAGGAGCCAAUACUGUGAGCCUGAGUCAGGUGAGGUCCGCUCGUCCCACUGAGCACCUGAGAGGCAGAGACCAUCUUUUUCCGGUUGGAGUUCAUGCUUCUCCAUUAAUCAUCUUUACCAUUAUUAGGAAUGAAGACAAAUGCCGGCAAAAGGAUGACAACAAUAUUUAACUAAUGUUAAGUUCAUUGCACAUUUAGAUUUAAUAGAUUAAAGCUGCAAUUUAAAUGUCAUUUUGAUGUAAUAUGAAGUAAAAAUAAAAAAGAAAAGGAAAUAACACUAGUUACACAAGGAUGAGUAAUUUAUUCUGACCAUAGAAAAAAAAACAACAAAACAUGCUACGUCCCCUACCCAGAGAUGAUAUAGAUGGAACAUAGUUUGGAUUGGUCGAGCCUAUUUCCACAAUGUAUAGCAAGGCAACGUAAUGACAAAGUGGAAUUGUAGGCUACGAACAACUGAAGAUCGAGGACGACGCUAGACGGUGAGACCGGAGCCCUCGAACUUGGAGCGCGUGAUGUCGUCGAUGCGCCGCGCCGUCUCCGGUGAGAGGUGGUUCACCCAGUCCCCCACCACGCCACGCCGGAAGAAGAUGCUGUUCUCCAGAGAGAUGGCCCCCAUCACCGUCCUGCCGCUUUUCGUCGCCUCAAGCCCGCACAUGUGCUCGAAAGCGCACAGCCUGACGAUGGCGUCCGCCGUGCCGUCCUCGCCAGCACCGCCGAACGGGAGCCCCACGAACUCCGCCAGCCGCCGGACGUGCGCCGCGGGGUCCCUCACCAUCUCCUCGUACCGGAAGAAGAGCACCCAGUCGGGCCGCGCCAGGUGCGCACGCCAGUACCCGAGCACGUGCUCCCAGUACGGGCCGAACGACGACUCGCCGGCGCAGAACAUGUCGGCGGCGACCUCGGCGGAGAGGAGCGCCAUCCCCUCCUUGGCCCUGAACUUGUUUAUGAAGUGCCAUAGAGAGACCAGGGUGUCCUUGGGGUCGCGGCACACGUACACGACCUUGCAGCCGCCGCCGGCGACAGACCCCGGCAGCGCCGCGAAGGGGACGUGCGUGGAGAAGAGCCUCGGAUCCGGGAGGUCGCCGAUGUCGGGGACUCUACCGCAAGUGUAGUAGAUCUGGUACUCCAAGUUCUGGACGCACUCGUGGGGGCCGAAGGAGUGGAAAGGGUGGUCGGCGGCGUCCGGAGGGUGCUCCCGCCGGCGCACGGUGGCGUAGAGGAGCGCUUCGGUCCACGUGGUGCCGGUCUUGGGCAGGCUGGCGAGGACGACGUCCGUGGGCCGCGCGGCGAAGCGGGCGCCGGCGACCAUGGCACCGACCAUGGGCAUCUGGCCGGCGCGCCAGCCUUGGCCGUGGAGGUAGAGCCGCUGGAGCGACAGGCCAUCGGAGCUCGGCAGGGAGGAGACCAGGUCGGUGAAACGCUGGUAGAGUUGCUGGUUGGUUUCCUCCGCUUGCGCAUCGGCUUCUUGCUGGGGAACGGUUUGCACGGAGAACGACAUGGCGAGUUGGCGAGUCGUGGCACCUUUGAUUCUUUGUAUAAACAUAUGCAAGGGUAAGGCGUCUGGUACUCUAGCUUGUUGAUGGUUCGGUAAAGGUGCCUUGGUGGCCUGGUAGAGGAAGCAAACCCCGGCGAGAGGCCUGUGAUUAUAUUCCACGAGGCUCUCAUAGCACGGGCUGGGUAGGCAAGCGGCGGAAUAAUAAAAAAACCACGUGCAACCACGUGAGGUGACGGCGCAGUCGUGGAUCCCUCGUCCAGUUCCCUUCCCUCACAAUAGCAGAUGAGAUGUGAGGAAGAUGCAGAAGAUCACCCGUAUCUUUUCCCAGUAGUACUCACCGUACACCCGCAGGCACAGCACACCACGAGGCCUGUGAUUAUAUUCCACGAGGCUCUCACCGUACACCCGCAGGCACAGCACGGGCCGGGGUAGGCAAGCGGCGGAAUAAAAUAACAAACCGUACGUGCAACCACGUGAGAUGAUUGACAAUAAUGCGUUGCCAACGCCACAGCAUGAGCUCGGAUAUGACGCGCCGCCGAUGCGCCGCAACAUCAGGCUGCCAUCUCUCGUAUCGUAUCCAUGGAUGCUACCUGAACUGCUAGAAGCAGUUUGUCCAACUUCUUUUCGUGACGGUUCUGAUCGAUCCAUUGCAGUUGCAGAGGAAGAAAUUACACGUAGAAUUGUGCAGUGGCUCCGCGGUUGAGGGGAUAUAAGAGAAGGGGAUCCAACAUCCGCAGCAUGCACGUAGAUGCCCCCUGGCACCUAGAGGUGAUCUAGAAAACAUUAAUAUGUAGAGUUUUUUCAUAGGUGGCAUUAAUUUCUUCCCUUCUUUGUACGGCACCUUAAUUUUGCUCAAGUUUCCGCAAGUGACACGUGCAUGCUCCAGCAUACAGUAUUCUCCACGUCUACGGAUUAACAUGGAGCGCCUCCAAAAGAAAGAGGAAGCGAGAGAGGCGCACAAAAUAAGCAACUUUUUACCCCCAACAUUAUUAUUUAUACAUAUAUACUAUUAAUUAUUUUCUCUUGCUUUAAUUUGUACUACUAGUAUCGUGAUUAUUCGAAUCAGAUCAGGGCUAGAUGUGGCUUGGAUGAAGAAGCACCAUGCACGUUGCGGAACUACUGAGAAGUAAGUCCAUGCAUGCACAACUAGAGGAGUCAUAAAAUGUACAGAUAGAGCCUUUUGUACACACUGGAAUCGUCAAAACGUACGUGCUUGUGUACUGUUCCCAUUUAUUGGGUGACGUAACUCAAGGCUUUGAUGAUACUUUAAACAUGUAGGCCACGUUAUUUUAUACGUAAAACGUAUUACUUUAGUGGAUGUUGAAAAUAGUCUGUACAGCUUUUACCAGCCUGGGGCCUUUCUUCUUUUUUUUUGGGACGGCUAAGUUAUAAUGAUCUUUUGCUAAAAUUUUCGUUACCAUGAGGGCCUUUCUUCUUUUUUGUAUGGUUCUUUUGCAGUUCCCUGGGCCGAAAGGUGUGCAGCGCUCCAGCCAUUUACUUCUUCCUCCACAGUCUGUCCUUUUGGCCAGCCCAAUAAGCGACGGAGCUCCAAGACGUUCAUGGGCUCAUGAGACCUGCUGCAUGCAGUUUAUCAUGCACGCACCACCAACCCUCAGCGCUUCACCUUCCCUGUCGAAUUUUUUUAUUUUUAUAUUUUUUUUGAUUUUGCAGAAAUAUAUAGUCGGAUGGAAAAAUUGCAGAUUGGGCUAUUGCCGCCGGCCCAGGCGGCGGAAGGGCCUUGCCACCACCUCAGCCGGCGGUAAGGCCCCCCGCCAACGGUCAGCAACCGGCGUAACUGCGGGCGCGUGAGUCGAGGUGUUACCGCCGCCUGGGCCGGCGACAGUCACCCCUUUAUAACCCGCCCGCGUCCCUCCCCUCUCCCCGCACCAGUGCGCGCCCGCAACAAGCCUGAGAAGGGAGAGGGAAGAGAAAGAGGAAAGGAGGGAAGGAAAAAAAAGAGAGAGAGGAGAGGAGGAGGAGGGAAGAAAAAAAAAGAAAGAAAGGAGGAGGAGGUGGAAUAGGGAAGAAAUUUCUUCUGUCUUUCGUAGGUAAUUUUUUUUAAUCUCGUAGUUUAGUUUAGUUUAGAUCUAGAUUUAGAAAUAUUAGUCUAACUGUUAGAGGGUGUUUGGCAGCACUCUUUUUUAGAAAAAACAGGUCCACUUUACCAACUCUACAAAAUUACUUGUCAAACACAUCUAGCUCCACAAACUUCAGCUUCAGAAAAAAUAUGGAGCUAGGGGUCAGAUCCACAUUUUUCCUGAAGUACUUCAGAGGGUGCUCUAAAAACAUCAGUUUCGGACUUCCUCGUGGAGUUAGGGGUUAUUUAUCCACCUUUGCCACUCGUUACACAGCAUAACGAUUCUUCUUUGGUUGCUUGUAUCAUUUGGUUCAUGCAUGAAAUGGUUCAUCAAAAUAAUGAUCCUUUUGUUUGGUAGGGUAUAUUGUAUCAACUCAUCCAUAAUAAAGUCAUCCCAUUUAAUUUAUUAUUCUACUAAGCAAAUUGAUUAAACACCACCAUCAUACAUGCAUCAUAUGGUGCAUGCAACCACGCACACCUAAUUUUUCUUUCCGCUCACUGUCUCCGUUGCCCCCCACCUCCCGUGGAAGCACGCCGGCGGUGGCGUUUCGCGGCCACGAGGAAGCGCCGCGUCGACGCGGGGGAGCUGCUCGUGGCGCGGAAGCACGGGGUGGCCGGCCGCAGCAGGAAGAUGGAGGACGCCGUGUCCGUGCGCGAGGCGUUCGUCGCGCCCUCCGCUGCUGUGGACGAGCGGCGCCCCGCCGUCGGGAGCGGGAGGUGCGAUUUCUACGGGGUGUUCGACAGCCGUGGGAGCGGGAGGUGCGAUUUCUACGGGGUGUUCGACGGCCACGGCUGCUCCCACGUCGCCGAGGCGUGCCGGGACCGGAUGCACGACCUGCUCGCCGAGGAGCUGUCCGCCGGCGACGAUGAGGCGGCGCUGCCGCGGGAGCCUGCGGCUUGGACCGCGGCGAUGGAGCGGUGCUUCGCGCGGAUGGACGCCGAGGUGACCUCCGCCGGCGGCCGCCAGCGCCAGCUGCCGCUGCGACGCGCACAAGUGCUCUGCCGCGGCGGCGGUGCGGCGCCGGUGCCGCUGUCCUCGGACCACAAGCCCGACCGGCCCGAUGAGCAGGAGCGGAUCGAGUCCGCGGGCGGGCGCGUCAUCUUCUGGGAGGGCGCGCGGGUGCUGGGCGUGCUGGCCCGCGCCAUCAGGGACGGGUACCUCAAGCCGUACGUGCCGUCGGUGCCUGAGGUGACGGUGACGGACCUCGCCGAGGACGACGAGGAGCGCUUAGAUUAAUUAUUAUUAUGGUGUAACCGGAAUUCGAUCCGGAUACCAUUUGGGAUGAAAAAAGGUGUUCAAAUCAUCUAAGGCUGAGAUGGUCGGUCAAGAAGAAUUCGAUGCGGAUCCAAUCUGGAACGAAGCCUCACUAGUCUGCUUUUUUUUUAUCUUCAGUAGAACAUUUGGUUGAACAUUUUAGUCAUUGGAGCAUUAUUCGAUGGAAUAUCACAUUUUAUAUCUUGCUAUGCUCAUUGUUCAGCUAGUUUUUAUUUUUUUUCCCGAGUACUGUAGCGAUAGUACCGUAGCAGCGGCAAAAAAACAAAAUACAACUGUGCGUAAUGCUUAAAACACAACUAGGCAUCCAUCAUGAGCAAAAUAGAACAUUCCCACCAAAUCCUCAUAUUUCUAAAGCUGGAGCACUACAAUCUGCCAAACACGUACAACAACUUCAUAUUUUUUUAGAGUUGGUGGAGUGAACCUGGGAAAGUGUAGAGCUGGUGGAGUGCAGCUAUUUUUUAUGAGGUGGAAUGCUGCAUGCAACUGUCAAAAUCGACCGUCAUGUGUCGCUCCUGCCUUGCAUCAGUAAUUAUAAAUUAGAGUGUAUUUUUUAGAAAGAGGAAUAAUCUCCUGCCUCUUGCGACAUACUUCCCCGUUCUAAAUUGUAGGUUAUUUUAACGUUUCUAGAUGCAUCAAUUUUACUACAUAUGUAGACUCUGCGUAACAAAAAUCAUGCAUUUUUUUUAAACCAACCUGCAAUUUGAAAUGUAUGAAGUGAAUUAGAGUAGUGCAUCUAUAACUACAGUACACCCGCAGGCACAGCACGGGCCGGGUAGGCACGCGGCGGAAUAAAUAACAACCGUACGUGCAACCGUACGGUCCAGCGUUUCCCUCCUGAUCGAUACAUUGCAGAGGAAGAAAUUACAUGCAGAAUCGUGCAGUGGCUCCGCGGUUGAGGGGAUAUAAGAGAAGGGGAUCCGCAACAUGCACGUAGAUGCCCCCCUGGGUCUGGGAAACGGGAAAGGCGGGAAGGUAACUGGCGCCCGCGCAGGAAUUUUAAUGGGCCGGGCCGAGAAGGACUGAAGGAGCCAAUACUGUGAGCCUGAGUCAGGUGAGGUCCGCUCGUCCCAGGCCAUGUUUAGUUACCCCCAAAUUCCCAACUUUGGCACUAUGCAAAAAGAAGAUUCCCCCUCACAUCAAACUUGCGGUACAUGCAUGGAGUACUAAAUGUAGACGAAAUCAAAAACUAAUUGCACAGUUUUGUUGUACUUUGCGAGACGAAUCUUUUGAGUCUAAUUAGUCAAUAUUUGGACAAUAAUUCACAAAUACAAACGAAAUACUACAGUUGCGCAUUUAUGACAAAAUCCCAACUUUGGCACUCCCAAAUUGGGAACUAAACAAGGCCCCACUGAGCUCCUGAGAGGCAGAGACCAUCUUUUUCCGGUUGGAGUUCAUGCUUCUCCAUUAAUCAUCUUUACCAUUAUUAGGAAUGAAGACAAAUGCCGGCAAAAGGAUGACAACAAUAUUUAACUAAUGUUAAGUUCAUUGCACAUUUAGAUUUAAUAGAUUAAAGCUGCAAUUUAAAUGUCAUUUUGAUGUAAUAUGAAGUAAAAAUAAAAAAGAAAAGGAAAUAACACUAGUUACACAAGGAUGGGUAAUUUAUUCUGACCACAGGAAAAAAAAACAACAAAACAUGCUACGUCCCCUACCCAGAGAUGAUAUAGAUGGAACAUAGUUUGGAUUGGUCGAGCCUAUUUCCACAAUGUAUAGCAAGGCAACGUAAUGACAAAGUGGAAUAUGGUUCUGUUUGGCUGCAGAUGGCUAAAGUUUAGCACCUAUCACAUCGAAUGUUUGGAUGCUAAUUAGGAGUAUUAAACAUAGUCUAAUUACAAAACUAAUUGCACAAAUGGAGUCUAAGUCGUGAGACAAAUCUAUUAAGCCUAAUUAGGCUUAAUAAAUUCGUCUCACGAAUUAGCACAGGGUUAUGCAAUUAGUUUUAUAAUUAGUUUAUGUUUAGUUCUCCUAAUUAGCAUCCGAAUAUCCGAUGUGAUAUUGCUAAACUUUAGCACCUGGUAUCACGAACAGCUGAAGAUCAAGGACGACGCUAGACGAUGAGACCGGAGCCCUCGAACUUGGAGCGCGUGAUGUCGUCGAUGCGCCGCGCCGUCUCCGGUGAGAGGUGGUUCACCCAGUCCCCCACCACGCCACGCCGGAAGAAGAUGCUGUUCUCCACAGAGCUGGUCCCCGCCACCGUCCUGCCGCUUUUCGUCGCCUCAAGCCCGCACAUGUGCUCGAAAGCGCACAGCCUGACGAUGGCGUCCGCCGUGCCGUCCUCGCCAGCGCCGCCGAACGGGAGCCCCACGAACUCCGCCAGCCGUCGGACGUGCGCCGCGGGGUCCCUCAUCAUCUCCUCGUACCGGAAGAAGAUCACCCGGUCGGGCCGCGCCAGGUGCGCACGCCAGUACCCGAGCACGUGCUCCCAGUACGGGCCGAACGGCGACUCGCCGGCGCAGAACAUGUCGGCGGCGACCUCGGCGGAGAGGAGCCCUAUCCCCUCCUUGGCCCUGAACUUGUUUAUGAAGUGCCAUAGAGAGACCAGGGUGUCCUUGGGGUCGCAGCACACGUACACGACCAUGCAGCCGCCACCGGCGACAGACCCCGGCAGCGCCGCGAAGGGGACGUGCGUGGCGAAGAGCCUCGGAUCCGGGAGGUCGCCGAUGUCGGGGACUCUGCCGCAAGUGUAGAUCUGGAACUCCAAGUUCUGGACGCACUCGUGGGGGCCGAAGGAGUGGAAAGGGUGGUCGGCGGCGUCCGGAGGGUGCUCCCGCCGGUGCACGAUGGCGUAGAGGAGCGCUUCGGUCCACGUGGUGCCGGUCUUGGGCAGGCUGGCGAGGACGACGUCCGUGGGCCGCGCGGCGAAGCGGGCGCCGGCGACCAUGGCACCGACCAUGGGCAUCUGGUCGGUGCGCCAGCCUUGGCCGUGGAGGUAGAGCCGCUGGUGCGACAGGCCAUCGGAGCUCGGCAGGGAGGAGACCAGGUCGGUGAAACGCUGGUAGAGUUGCUGGUUGGUUUCCUCCGCUUGCGCAUCGGCUUCUUGCUGGGGAACGGUUUGCACGGAGAACGACAUGGCGAGUUGGCGAGUCGUGGCACCUUUGAUUCUUUGUAUAAAUGUAUGCAAGGGUAAGG
Molecule: long non-coding RNA, 26694 nt
Filed under: Setaria italica (foxtail millet)
Lineage: Eukaryota; Viridiplantae; Streptophyta; Magnoliopsida; Poales; Poaceae
Description: long non-coding RNA (SITA_LNC003441)
Source: RNAcentral